AUACGGAGGAUCCGAGCGUUAUCCGGAUUUAUUGGGUUUAAAGGGUGCGCAGGCGGGAGAUUAAGUCGGCGGUGAAAUUUUGCAGCUCAACUGUAAAAGGGCCUUCGAAACUGGUUUUCUUGAGUGUAGAUGAAGAUGGCGGAAUGUGGGGUGUAGCGGUGAAAUGCUUAGAGAUCACACAGAAUAUCGAUUGCGAAGGCAGCUCACAAAGCCAAGAUUGACGCUGAGGCACGAAAGUGUGGGGAUCAAACAGGAUUAGAUACCCUGGUAGUCCACACUGUAAACGAUGAUAACUCGCUGUCGGCGAUAUACAGUCGGUGGCCAAGCGAAAGCGAUAAGUUAUCCACCUGGGGAGUACGACCGCAAGGUUGAAACUCAAAGGAAUUGACGGGG
This 393-nucleotide ribosomal RNA is filed under the name uncultured bacterium. RNAcentral describes it as "partial 16S ribosomal RNA". It matches the Rfam family "Bacterial small subunit ribosomal RNA", at positions 523 to 918 of the family's 1533-position model. The record is from RNAcentral.